Molecule: microRNA precursor, 172 nt
Filed under: Marmota monax (woodchuck)
Lineage: Eukaryota; Metazoa; Chordata; Mammalia; Rodentia; Sciuridae
Source: RNAcentral
UAUGUGUGUGUGUAUGUGUGUGUGUGUGUGUGUAACUAACCAUUCCUUAAGUGAUAGUGUAUUAUUAACACAAGAACAGAACAGACUAAUAGACCACUUUUAUGGAAUGGUAAGCUGAGAAGCAGCAAUGCACACGUAUGCACGCACACACACACACACACACACACACACA